AUGGAAGAGUUCUCUGGCCACACCCACUGAGGUUUAACUCAACCAAUGAGAUUCUUUGUGUCUCCAGAGCAGAAAUGUUUGAGGAACUAAAAGCCCAGUCAGCUUGAUGUUGAGGAGAAGGGCUGUGCAGCAGAGAGGCUGUUUAGUUCUUUCAUUCUACUGCAGUGGAACAACAUCGCUCAUCUGCUGUCUGUUUGGCUUUAACAACUCCAAAGACAUGUUGCUUUACCUCUUUUUACUCUUCUUUACCUUUAUAGCCCUGGGUUCCAUGGACAGCAUAAAGCCACAAAGUACUGAAGAACAUGUUGCAGAGGGCAGAGACAUCUACCUGACCUGUACAUAUGAGGGAGCUAUCAGCAAUAUCCAGUGGUACCGACAAUACCAGAGAUCCAGACCAGAGUUCCUGCUCUACAUCACCGAGGGAGGAUUGAUUCAUCCAACUGGUUCUGGUUUCUCAGCUCACAUUAACAAAGCAGAGAAACAUGUUGAUCUGGAGAUCAUCUCAGCUAAAGUGUCACACUCUGCUGUGUACUACUGUGCUCUGCAGCCCACAGUGACAGGAAACACCUAAACUCUGUACAAAAACCUUUGGAGCAAAGACAACACAAUACUCCACAACGUCCACUAGAGGGAGUCACACUCUGUUCCACUUCAACAGGAGAUGAUGAUCCAGUCUAGAUUGUUUCCCCUCAUGAGUCAGUUGUGAUGAAGACCUUUAGAGAUGAAACUUAUCUG
Sebastes umbrosus (honeycomb rockfish) is the source of this 735-nucleotide non-coding RNA. Lineage: Eukaryota; Metazoa; Chordata; Actinopteri; Perciformes; Sebastidae. The record is from the annotation of a RefSeq genome assembly.